CGUAUCUCGAUUAAACGAAGAAUCGAUGAAUACAAGGAGCUUGUGUAAAUGUGAGUUUAAACGUGUCAUAACAUUCGCGUGGCAUGCACGUAGUCUUGAAAACUACUGAAACGUAUAUAGAAAAGAAAAAGAAUCGGCUGUACCUUUUUGGGAGAAACACAUCGGGCGGUUACAUGCGACCGUAGCACAGUCGGAUAGUCGGUGUCCCGUCGAGGAUGGCCGAAGAGAGCCGGAUCGAACCGAACGGGCACGAGGCAACAGGCGGCUCGUUUUAAACCCGUGGCCCGUGGCCUACGGGGAGUUUUCAAAGCAGUGGGCUGGCAGUGAGCCGUCGGCUUUCACAGCGCGUGUUUCGCUGGUGCGUUGUAUAUCCGUUGAUGAACGUAGGUUAUGUUACGAUCGUUCUUCUAGAUUUCGAUAUUCAACGUUUUUGCUCUUCUAGGAUACAGCACGCGAUACGAUUUACGAUUUGUUACGAUUUCUGAGUGCAGUCUCGUGAUAGGUGUUGUCGGUGUAGCAUCGAGACGUUUGACGUAACGUUGUUGAAUCUUGUAAUGCUUUACGAGAAACAUUCGCGAGGUAAAGAGUAUAUACGCGUUGGUUGAAAUUAUCGGUAAUCGUGCGGGGUUGAAAGAUAUAUUAGCUGUACAAUCGACGUUGUUCGACUUUGUCGAAAAUAGAGCUGGUGUAAAAAGGAAUGGUUUUCACAGAAGGUGACUGAAUGGUUGAACGAUUUAUCGGUUAAGAAGAAAAAGAGCGCGCGGCGAAAGCCAUUUGAAACCACCCAGUAAACACGCAGUCUUCUCGAAUAGACGAAAGUUUAUGUUUGACGACAAAUAUCAAACGAAUCGGUUAAGAUCGCCGGCGCGUGCUUAGUGACGGGAGUCGUUCUAUUUAUCUUUGGACGUUAACGGUGCUGAAGUGAGAGAUAUCGGUUUUCUUUUGGGGAAAAGUCUGCUGUGGACCAUUGGGACGUAAUUUUCAUCCUGGAAACUCGGUCAUGGCGGUUCUCGGAUUCGAAAAUCACGGAAUCUGAAACGUUUUCCCGGCUUCCUGGUAAAUUGAUUUUUCGUCGAGAUCUGAAGAUGACGACACCGGUCGAGCGGGGACUGCUUGUCCUGUCGCUCCUCACUGCGAUCUGUCAGGGCAACGAACUUAAGGACUACUGUUCCAAGCACAAAUUCGACAAUUUACCACCCGGUGGCCUCAGGUUUACGAAGGAGGUCGUGACAACAGAGUACGCGAACAUCGGAGCGUUCAAAGCGCUUCACUGUUGUCUACGAGGAUACAGGAGUAUCGAAUGGUACAAGGACAACAGGGCUUAUCCUUGGCCAGGCGGAGAGAGCCAUUUCAUCCUGUAUCCGGAGAGCGCGAACCAGACGAUUUACGCGCAGAAGGUGAGAAGCUCCGACGCGGGACGGUAUUCUUGUCAGGCAAGAAACGACACGACCAUCCUCGAAGGAGAUAUCACGCUCGCCGUCCUCGGGGAGAAGUCUGGCGGAUAUACCGGGAAACCAUUGCCAACGUACAGGCCGGCCUCGCAAUUGGUUCCCCUGGGAGGAGCGGCGAGAUUAUUUUGCGAGGCAUACCUGGGGAAAGUCGAGCUUCCGGACGCGAAAAAUUCGGUAACCUGGUCGAAGAGCGACAGCAACGUCACGUUACCGAGUCACGGCAGGAUCGCCCAGCACAGCGUGUCCAGGGAAAACAAUCAGAUCAUCGGCUCUUACCUGGAAAUCGAGGACAUAACUCUGGAAGAUUACGGGGAGUACAAGUGCGAAGUUAGCAACGGCGUGGACGAGGAGAUCACGUUACCCGCUCACGUUUAUCGGCAAGAGCCACAGUUCGCGUUGGAAGUACAAAACGGAUCCUGGAGAAGGUCGUUUCUGGUAGGCGUGCUGGUGCUGGUUUUGCUGAUCUCGGUCGGCGCGUUUUACGCGCGCUGUUGGCUGCCUUUGGUACUGCUCUGCCGGGACAAAUUCGCCCCGCUCGAGGAGAACGAUGGAAAGGAAUGCGACGCUCUGGUGUGCUACCACGAGAAAGACUCAAGCCUGGUCAUCGGUAUAGUGAUACCCACGCUGGAAUCGAGGCACCGGUACAAGUGCACGGCGCUGGAGCUCUCCCAGUUGAAUCAGAAUUGGGCUGUGGAGAUCGGGCCGCAUGCUGUUUCCAGUCGAAGAGUCAUCGUGGUGCUGAGCCCAGAGUCGCUGGGAAACGUUUGGAACGAAACGAACGUGGGAGUUGUGCUAAAUCAACUGUCGUCGCUCACCACUCGAACGAUAGUCAUCAUCACCAAGAAUCUAUUGAACACGACCGCGAUCGCGAAACGAUCGAGUCGAGCUUACAACAACAUACGUGAAUACUCGCUCGAUCGUGUGAAGGUCUUGCAUUGGGACGACACCGGCAACUUAGGUUCCGGCAACCACACAUUUUGGUACAAGCUGCGGCUCGCAAUGCCACCGAUUCGACCGAUCAGCUCCGAGAGCGGCUGCCAAUCGGUCGCCAUGAUCGUUCAGGCGAACGGAAAAUGCGGACAGCAGAAGGCUCGAUCGCGCGAAAGUCUCGAAGUUCUCGUUUAAAACGGAGAAAAGCGAGACGAUCGAACGACGGAAACGAUGCAAUGGAUCCUUACGUAGUAUAUACUUGCAUAUACCUACGUAGUCUGUCUCUUCACCCGCGUUUCUCUUCCUUUCGCUUCUGUACGAAAGCGGUGACAAGGCCAAGUUUCCGCGCGCUUGUCCAAGUAUCCAUGCGUUUCGCGCACAAUCAGACGUUUGAAGACAUUCGUUCGCGUAGCGUAAUAAACGCGCACCACGUUUCCUCGCCGAAUCUCGCAAAUAGCCGCAUCUAUGGAACUGUAACUUUCAAAAAUGUAACGGUUUCGAUGCUCGAGCAACCGAUGCACGACCGUGUGUUGUCGUUCCAACUCGUUCUUCUCGCGUUGCGACGUACGCCUUGAACGCUCCUCGGCGUAUGUCUACGAAAAGAGCUACAGCGCGAUCCGAGUGUCUUUUAAUUUUACUUUGGCUGCAGACCGUACUGUACUGUGUACGACGAGCGAAAUUCAUAAAUUUACUUAAACGUUCGCUGGUCGGAAGCGAAACUUGAUUUUAUCGCGACAAAUUGCUACGGACGCGAGUAGGUUCGACCGUGUCGAAAGAUACGCCGCGCACCACCCUCCAUCCUGUUUUAUCUUCUGCACGUGGAGCAGACGCGACGACUGAUCGCGAUCGGCGAAAUUCGAGGAAAGAGGAGCUCAGGCGAAGCGCGCAGUCUUCCUUUUCGCGCAAGCACGCGGCGCUUCGAGCGAAAAAAGAAAAAAGAGAAAAGAAAGAAAGGAGUAAGAACGAAACGCGUUGGAGAAGUUACGAGAAAAAAUAACAGGACGGAGAAAGAAAGCGAGUCCCUCGCUACUCGCCUAUAUAUACGUAAUCGCUUUUAUCGCGUACACUUCUCGUUUUCUCUGUUUGUAUAUAUCGGACAAAUCGAUGCUCUAUUGUCCUUAUUUAUUAUUUAGCUAAGUCAUCGUAUUAUUUAUACAACGUUUAAAUUUUAGCGAUCUCCCUUCUAUCAGUAUCGAAAUCAUGAAUUAUGUAAAACUCGCGUCUACGUUUUCGGGCACACUUUUCUAAGCGAAUUUUACGCGCGGUUUUUAGCCAACAAAUCUACGCACGAUAAGACUAAUAAUGAACAUAGGUAUUUUAUACUGGUUUGUAUAUAUACAUAUAUAUGUAAAAGGAGGGAAAAGAUAAGUGCGUGUGUAGGUGCAUGCAUGCGCGUGCACGUGUAUGCGUGUGUACAUGUGUAUUAUAUGCGAGAUCCUUUUCUUUUUCGCCGUUUUUUCGGAACUAUCGUUACGUCGAAUGACUACAAGACACUUAGAAAGAUGUAUCUGCGAACGUAACGUCAAGCGAUAAUCCUGUAAUUCUAAUAUCUAAUAUUAUCUACAACCAUACAAUAUACACGCUCUACUAUACGAUAUACAUAUAGCCUAGCCGUUAUACCCGCGUAAUUGUACUUUAAAUGUUACGCACACGCGCAGAACCGCAACGUGAGCUUAAUUUUAAUAUCAUAGUAAUCUCUUUACUGUCAGUAUUACGAUACACUAGUGUACUUGUCUCGCGAGAAUGUGCCUGGGCGAUUGACUCGCAUCGCGGCCAAUUGUUGCGAGCCGAGUAUAAGCAGAGUAUAGACAUUAGGAGGUAUACUUGUUUAUUUAGCGAUAUAGAGAACAACAAAACGACGACUAUCCUCUAAUCGUCUGUCGUCGCGUUUCUUUCUUUUUCUUUUUUAGUAUAUAUACGUGUGUGCGUGUGUGUGCGUGCGUGCGUGCGUGCGUGCGUGUGUCGCAUGAUAGCGACAAACUCGUGACCGUUCUUACAGUUACCUAUGAAACAGAACGGCGAAAAAUGUGUGUACUGUUGCUUCUCGUCUCCGUUUGAUGGCGUAUAUAUCGAACAGAAUCGACGAUACAAGGCUCUAUACGUACCAAAUAUCAGACGACCGUUUCUCUUCGUGCUGACAAAUCGUGUGUCUCGGAUCGUCACUUUUUCUUACUCACAUACGAAACAACGUUACGUUUCGCAACCUUGCUGAAACCACUGCCGUCGUUCAGCCGUUAAACAGCAACGACGACGACUUUUUCCUAAAGG
This is an RNA transcript of Bombus pyrosoma, 4649 nucleotides long. It is a transcript of the gene named single Ig IL-1-related receptor-like, with no coding region annotated. The transcript has 8 exons. The record is from RefSeq and is a predicted model, not a curated record. Lineage: Eukaryota; Metazoa; Arthropoda; Insecta; Hymenoptera; Apidae.